GACGAACGCUGGCGGCGUGCCUAAUACAUGCAAGUUGAGCGCUGAAGGUUGGUACUUGUACCAACUGGAUGAGCAGCGAACGGGUGAGUAACGCGUGGGGAAUCUGCCUUUGAGCGGGGGACAACAUUUGGAAACGAAUGCUAAUACCGCAUAAAAACUUUAAACACAAGUUUUAAGUUUGAAAGAUGCAAUUGCAUCACUCAAAGAUGAUCCCGCGUUGUAUUAGCUAGUUGGUGAGGUAAAGGCUCACCAAGGCGAUGAUACAUAGCCGACCUGAGAGGGUGAGCGGCCACAUUGGGACUGAGACACGGCCCAAACUCCUACGGGAGGCAGCAGUAGGGAAUCUUCGGCAAUAGACGAAAGUCUGACCGAGCAACGCCGCGUGAGUGAAGAAGGUUGUCGGAUCGUAAAACUCUGUUGGUAGAGAAGAACGUGGGUGAGAGUGGAAAGCUCAUCAAGUGACGGUAACUACCCAGAAAGGGACGGCUAACUACGUG
RNAcentral lists this ribosomal RNA (497 nucleotides) under uncultured bacterium. RNAcentral describes it as "partial 16S ribosomal RNA". It matches the Rfam family "Bacterial small subunit ribosomal RNA", at positions 28 to 507 of the family's 1533-position model. The record is from RNAcentral.